AUAUAUAUCAACCCUCAUCUUGAGUGGUUUGGAUGUGGGGGGUUUGCUGGCCUCUUAAAAGGUUCAGCUCUCCUGAAAUGCAUUAGCGGAACAAACCUUGUUCAUUCAUUGGUGUGAUAACUAUCUACGCUAUUGAGUGUGAGGCAGUUCAGCUUCUUAACAGUCCUUGGACAACUUAUCAUUUU
RNAcentral lists this unclassified non-coding RNA (185 nucleotides) under uncultured Cortinarius. Its description in RNAcentral is "sequence contains ITS2". The record is from RNAcentral. Lineage: Eukaryota; Fungi; Basidiomycota; Agaricomycetes; Agaricales; Cortinariaceae.